This 500-nucleotide small RNA is filed under the name Pan troglodytes (chimpanzee). RNAcentral's name for it is "processed transcript". Lineage: Eukaryota; Metazoa; Chordata; Mammalia; Primates; Hominidae. The record is from RNAcentral.
GACUCGGGCUCCUGCAGCUUCUGCGGGGCUUGGCGCCGCCGUCCGUGAGCACCCAGGCCGGGACCCCACAUCCCCAGGCCGGGACCCCACAUCCCCAGGCCAGCCCUGACCCCGGCAGCCCCUCCGCCGGGAUUCCUUUCCGAGGUACUGGUGCCGGCCCAAGACCCGGGCAGCGCUUUGUCGUGUCCGCCCCUCAGUGAUCAGCUCCGGGUCCCCCUGCUUGGCCCCGCGCGUCCCAAGCGCAGUCCCCGGAAGUGCGCGCCGGGGCCCCAGCAAAGAAGAGAAGAAGGAGAGUGGCCACGUUGAUUCAGCCAAGCACCUCCAGGAGGUCUCCUCUGGAUGUCCCAUGAGGCUGCCCCUCAGCCACAGCCCAGAGCACGUGGAGAUGGCUUUGCUCAGCAACAUCCUAGCGGCCUAUUCCUUUGUCUCAGGUGUGUCUUUGAGAAGAUGAGAAGAUCGCAGACCUGUGUUCUAAACUGGCAUGGUUCUAAAGACAAGGU